CGUGUAGGCGGCCGUGUAAGUCGGAUGUGAAAGCCCUCGGCUUAACCGAGGAAGUGCGUUCGAAACUGCAUGGCUUGAGUACCGGAGAGGGUGGUGGAAUUCCCGGUGUAGAGGUGAAAUUCGUAGAUAUCGGGAGGAACACCAGUGGCGAAGGCGACCACCUGGACGGAUACUGACGCUGAGACGCGAAAGCGUGGGGAGCAAACA
This 207-nucleotide ribosomal RNA is filed under the name uncultured delta proteobacterium. Its description in RNAcentral is "partial 16S ribosomal RNA". It matches the Rfam family "Bacterial small subunit ribosomal RNA", at positions 568 to 774 of the family's 1533-position model. Lineage: Bacteria; Deltaproteobacteria. The record is from RNAcentral.